This 423-nucleotide ribosomal RNA is filed under the name uncultured bacterium. Its description in RNAcentral is "bacterial SSU rRNA". It matches the Rfam family "Bacterial small subunit ribosomal RNA", at positions 207 to 622 of the family's 1533-position model. The record is from RNAcentral.
AAGACCUUGCGCUUUCGGAGCGGCCGAUGUCUGAUUAGCUUGUUGGUGAGGUAAAGGCUUACCAAGGCUUCGAUCAGUAGCUGGUCUGAGAGGACGGCCAGCCACACUGGGACUGAGACACGGCCCAGACUCCUACGGGAGGCAGCAGUGGGGAAUUUUGGACAAUGGGGGCAACCCUGAUCCAGCCAUGCCGCGUGAGUGAAGAAGGCCUUCGGGUUGUAAAGCUCUUUCAGCCGGAACGAAACGGUUACGAUUAAUACCCGUAACUACUGACGGUACCGGAAGAAGAAGCACCGGCUAACUACGUGCCAGCAGCCGCGGUAAUACGUAGGGUGCGAGCGUUAAUCGGAAUUACUGGGCGUAAAGCGUGCGCAGGUGGUUUUGUAAGUCAGAUGUGAAAUCCCCGGGCUUAACCUGGGAACU